UUUUCUUAUACUAUAUGCAAUAGGUCUACUAUAUUUGGUGUAUGGACUGAUUGUAAGGUGUACAUGUCUAGCUGACAGGUGUUAUCUGACCUUGAACUCAUUUUCAUGGUUUAGUGGUCAAAGUUAAGUUUUUGAGUACUGGUAUAUUUUUCUAAUACUUUAUGCAUUAGGUCAACCAUAUGUGGUGUAUGAAAAUAUUUUAUGAUCUAUAUGUCUGUUAGGAAGGUUUUUUGGACCUUGGCCGCAUUUUCACGGUCCAUUGCUAAGUGUUAAGUGUUUGUGUUUUGGUCUGUUUUUCUUAAUUUAUAAGCAAUAAGUCAACUAUAUUUGUUGUAUUGAAGAAUUGUUAGCUGUUCAUGUCUGCUUGGCAUGGUUCAUCUGACCUUGACCUCAUGCUCAUGGUUCAUUGAUCAAUGUUUCGUUUUCUUGGUUAAUGUUGAGUUUAUGUGACAGUUGUAAUAAAGCUUUAUAUUUAGGCCUAUGAACAUAAUAUCAAUGAUUAGUAAAAAAGGCGAGACAUUUCAGUGUGUGCACUCUUGUGUACACUGUAUCGUAUAUAAAUAUUCGCCUGAAAUGGACUUAUAAUAAACAAUAAAUUAGUCGAUUUACUAGUAUAUUUUCAUUUAAUAUAUCUGAAUUAUCUGUCGUCAAAUUGUGUUUUAUUUCAAUGUACACGGUCCGCUGACAUGAAAGUUUAACGAUACUCGACCGUUGUGAUGGUAUGUCGGACCAUAGAUGUAAUAGCUAUUAUAUAUAUGGUCGGACGAGUUUCUUUUUCUCUUUUUUUCUAUCAUGCUUGCAUUUACCAAUGACAAACGAAAGGAGAAGCAGUUUGUAGAACGCACUUUUGCCCUCCCUUCAUUGGCUUUUGCUUUUUCAUGUGCAUGUACAUGAAAUAUUUGCCACUGAACG
This 912-nucleotide long non-coding RNA is filed under the name Mytilus galloprovincialis (Mediterranean mussel). Lineage: Eukaryota; Metazoa; Mollusca; Bivalvia; Mytilida; Mytilidae. The record is from RNAcentral.